This 465-nucleotide ribosomal RNA is filed under the name uncultured bacterium. RNAcentral's name for it is "partial 16S ribosomal RNA". It matches the Rfam family "Bacterial small subunit ribosomal RNA", at positions 28 to 507 of the family's 1533-position model. The record is from RNAcentral.
GACGAACGCUGGCGGCGUGCUUAACACAUGCAAGUCGAACGGAAAGGCCCUGCUUGCAGGGUACUCGAGUGGCGAACGGGUGAGUAACACGUGGGUGAUCUGCCCUGCACUUCGGGAUAAGCCUGGGAAACUGGGUCUAAUACCGGAUAGGAGCCAUUUUUACUGUGAUGGUUGGAAAGUUUUUUCGGUUUAGUAUGAGCGCUCGUCGUAUCCGCUUGUUGGGGGGGUAAUGGCCUACCAAGGCGGCGUCGGGUAGCCGGCCUGAGAGGGUGGACGGCCACAGCGGGACUGGGACAGGGACCAGACUCCAACGGGAGGGAGCAGCGGGGGAGGGGGAACUAGGGGAGUAAGCCUGAUGCAGCGGCAGCGAGGGGGGGAUGACGGCCUUCGGGUUGUGAACGCAGUUCGCCAGGGACGAAGCUUUUUGUGACGGUACCUAGAUAAGAAGCACCGGCUAACUACGUG